GUCUACGGCCACACCACCCCGAACGCGCCCCAUCUCGUCUGAUCUCCGAAGCUAAGCAGGGUCGGAUCUCGUUAGUACUUGGUGGGAGAUCGGUGGUGCCGUAGGCU
This 107-nucleotide ribosomal RNA is filed under the name Microcebus murinus (gray mouse lemur). The record is from RNAcentral. Lineage: Eukaryota; Metazoa; Chordata; Mammalia; Primates; Cheirogaleidae.